GCCCGGCCCCGCGCCGGCCCCGCUGCUGCCCGUUAUGGCGGCGGCUCCGCUCCGCUCAGCGGCCCGGCCGGGCACCGGUGUUAGGACUCAGCAGCAGUUGUUCUGCAGAGCUGGCAGCACGUGGCUUGGACAGCACUGGGCCAUUAUUCCUGGACGCCUGCUGUUCUGGGAUAGAGAAUCACAGAAUUGCAGAAUCAUUUGAGUUGGAAUGGACUGCUAAGAUCAUCUGGACCAACUGCCCUGCAGUGAACAGGGACACCUACAGCUCCAUCAGGUGCUCAGAGCUCCUUCCAGCCUGACCUGUGUGCAGUGAUGGGGAUCCACCGCCUCUUUGGGCAGUCUGUGCCACUGCCUCACCACUCUUACUGUAAAAAACUUCUUUUAAAAACCCACUGGCUUGGGUUAGUACAGUUAAGGUAGAUUGUUUAAAUACGGUGCAGCAAUAGCCUCCAGGUUCUCAUGCAACUCCACUGAUGCUUCUUAAUAUUUCCACUACAGCUGUACUGGAAUUUUUGAUACCCACAUAUAGUGAGUCUAAAGUUCCAAGUGUACAAAUUACUUCUUUGAAUUAAUCCAUUUGAAAGAAAGCAUCUUCCCUUAAUUUGCCGAAAAACUUAGCUGUUUUGAAGCACCUGAAAUGCUUAGUGCUAAGUUCUGCUAUGUAACUCUUAAAUCCUUCCUCUCCUGCCCUGCAGGAUGUCAUGAGAGCACCUGCUUUGUGAGCUAGGAUCACCUGUUUCGCAUACACUGUCUCAGCUGUCAAAAUGACGACAAGUAAAUCCUCCUGCUGAGGUUCAUAAGAAAAGCAUCGCGUUUCAGGCAUGGAAGAGCUUUUUGAUUUACAUCAGGUUUUUAAUUAUUGCAACAUUUAAAAAAGAUGGAGAUGAUAAGCGAACAAAAUCAGUCUGUCCAGAAGGUAUGGGAAAAUAAAAAAAUACUCUGCUUUGGGUGUUGUAUACUCUGUGCAUUUAAGCAAUAGCAUAACUGAGUCUCUGCAAAUAAAUAAAUAUAUUAAUUAAUUAAAGUUUGGUGGUUUGUUGGGUGUUUUAUUUAUUUCUUUAUUUGUUUAAUCUAAUGAAAAACACUGUUGCUGACCUGUGAUAUCUUUAUACUGUCAAUUGCACAUGACAGCACUGGAUGGAUAAUCACAAAUUCAAAUCACAGUGUACAGUAGCAAAGAAUGCAUCCAAAGAUUUCAAAUCAUAAAAAUAAAUUGUUCCAAAGGCUUAAAUAAUACUGCUACUUUUCUUUGAGUAAAUAUAAUGGUGCUUUAAUUGUACUAUUUGCAAAAAUGUUUUGUGGUACCUUGUGCCUUUCUAAUAUCUGACUGUAUUCAUAUAUUGCCUGAGCAAUUGUAAGCAAUGUCUUCCAACAGUUCACUGUUCUGUUCUUGCACUGAUUCCAGUAUCCCCAUUAGCAUGAGUGGCAGUUGCAGAGGUUUAUCAUGUUUGUGUCACUGUGCAUGUUCUUUCUGGCUAUGCCAUCUCUAUUCUAGGGCUCUAUGUGAUCUUCUGAGUUGCACAAAAACCCUCUGAGGUCACCAGGAUUUAAGGGUAGGAGUUAACAAGCUCUCAAGUAUUCCUGAAUUGAGAAAGACUGAUACAGGGAGAUCAUUUUCUGAGGCAAGCAAACUUAUUCUGGUGGACAAGAGGACUGCACACCUGGAUGUUUUUCUUUGUAUAUGCCAGCACAUGUGUUUCAUAUGGCCAAAAUGGCAAUUAUCCCUGUCACAGAAUGAGACUUUGCAUGUGUGAUGAGAUGAUCCCACUGCCUGUACUGUGUACUGUGGGUGACAGAUGUUGUGUUUUGGUUGCAUCAGAGAGUACUUUUGGUCACUUAAUGAGGAAGGACUGUGAUUUGUUUCGGUGGGUCAGAACACAGAUACUUCAUCCCCAGUUUGUGCUCUGAUGGAGUAUGCUGAGAAUAUACCAUUUGUCAUUUAAAUGAGCUCAUUUGAAUGUGCAAUGAAGCAUGAUUCGUGUUUCCUUACACAAUUUUGUUAGCCUUUUCAGUUUUUGUAUCUAUCUGUUGUUUUUCCUUUUCAGUGUAUCCACCAUUAGUCAUGAGGAUGAAGGGCUGUGAUUCUUGUCUAAUAGGAAGAAAAACCAGAAGAAAAAUAAACUUGUUUCAAUGCCAGGAGCAUUUUUGUUUUGAGCAAAACCAAACCAAACAAUAAUGUGACAUGUAACAAGAACAGUAUUUCAUACUACAUAGCAUAAAAUGAAUUGUAAUUAUGUUACAUGUAUCCACUGGGCUCUUACUCUUCUGAAAUGUAGCACUGUUCCAUGCAAACAGCUGACACUUAAACCUGCACAUCAGUGGAUUUAAAGCUACGGCUGUAAAUCUUUGGACCACCAAAGCAUAAAGUGAUUAAUUUGGCCAUAAUUGUAAUCUGUGUGUUGAAAAAUUGUCAAAUGAAACAUAAUCAUAAGUGGAAUCAUUUCUGUCUUUUAAACAACCUUUACUUAGCAAUGAAUCGCACUUCUUUCUAAACCUUGGUUCAAUUGCUCCAAGUAAAAUUUAGAAGUUGUUGAUUUCAAGUCUGUGUAGCAGAGGAGAAAGGGAUAAAUUCCACAGCUGAAGGUGGACAAAGGUAGCAUUGCUUUGGCAGCAGAAAGUAAUUUUUGUUUGGCCAAAAAGAAUGCUUGCAUUUGCGCAGACAUUUGGAUUAUUGGAAGCAGCCCUAACAGAAGUGAAUGAAUGGACAACAUGCAGGUGAGGUUUGAAUGCAUAUCAAAUGGCUCUGAAAUGCGUAAAAUGAUUGGCCUCCGAUAGGAUGCAGUCCCACAUUGCAUCCAGUCAGCUUUCCAUAGUGAUGAGUCAUUUGGACCCAUGUGUGUAAAAUUAAGAUUUGAGUAUUUACCAUGAUAUCACCACAACAGUUCAGAGCAAUCCAGUGUUUUAAACUG
Molecule: long non-coding RNA, 2909 nt
Organism: Lagopus muta (rock ptarmigan)
Lineage: Eukaryota; Metazoa; Chordata; Aves; Galliformes; Phasianidae
Exons: 3
Source: RefSeq, a predicted model, not a curated record